Molecule: ribosomal RNA, 253 nt
Filed under: uncultured bacterium
Lineage: Bacteria
Description: partial 16S ribosomal RNA
Rfam family: Bacterial small subunit ribosomal RNA
Source: RNAcentral
UACGUAGGGGGCAAGCGUUGUCCGGAUUUAUUGGGCGUAAAGAGCGUGUAGGCGGUUUGGUAGGUCCGUUGUGAAAACUCGAGGCUCAACCUCGAGACGCCGAUGGAAACCAUCAGACUAGAGUCCGUAAGAGGAGAGUGGAAUUCCUGGUGUAGCGGUGAAAUGCGCAGAUAUCAGGAAGAACACCCGUGGCUAAGGCGGCUCUCUAGUACGGUACUGACGCUGAGACGCGAAAGCGUGGGGAGCGAACAGG